RNAcentral lists this ribosomal RNA (253 nucleotides) under uncultured bacterium. RNAcentral's name for it is "partial 16S ribosomal RNA". It matches the Rfam family "Bacterial small subunit ribosomal RNA", at positions 524 to 776 of the family's 1533-position model. The record is from RNAcentral.
UACAGAGGUCUCAAGCGUUGUUCGGAUUUAUUGGGCGUAAAGGGUGCGUAGGCGGCUAGGUAAGUUGGGUGUGAAAUAUCUCGGCUUAACCGAGAAAUUGCACUCAAUACUGCCUGGCUUGAGCACUAGAGAAGGGGCUGGAAUUUACGGUGUAGCAGUGAAAUGCGUAGAUAUCGUAAGGAACGCCAGUGGCGAAAGCGAGCCUCUAGAUAGUUGCUGACGCUGAGGCACGAAAGCUAGGGGAGCAAACGGG